RNAcentral lists this ribosomal RNA (728 nucleotides) under uncultured bacterium. RNAcentral's name for it is "bacterial SSU rRNA". It matches the Rfam family "Bacterial small subunit ribosomal RNA", at positions 38 to 761 of the family's 1533-position model. The record is from RNAcentral.
GGCGGCAGGCCUAACACAUGCAAGUCGAGCGGUAGAGAGAAGCUUGCUUCUCUUGAGAGCGGCGGACGGGUGAGUAAUGCCUAGGAAUCUGCCUGGUAGUGGGGGAUAACGUUCGGAAACGGACGCUAAUACCGCAUACGUCCUACGGGAGAAAGCAGGGGACCUUCGGGCCUUGCGCUAUCAGAUGAGCCUAGGUCGGAUUAGCUAGUUGGUGAGGUAAUGGCUCACCAAGGCGACGAUCCGUAACUGGUCUGAGAGGAUGAUCAGUCACACUGGAACUGAGACACGGUCCAGACUCCUACGGGAGGCAGCAGUGGGGAAUAUUGGACAAUGGGCGAAAGCCUGAUCCAGCCAUGCCGCGUGUGUGAAGAAGGUCUUCGGAUUGUAAAGCACUUUAAGUUGGGAGGAAGGGUUGUAGAUUAAUACUCUGCAAUUUUGGCGUUACCGACAGAAUAAGCACCGGCUAACUCUAUGCCAGCAGCCGCGGUAAUACAGAGGGUGCAAGCGCUAAUCGGAAUUACUGGGCGUAAAGCGCGCGUAGGUGGUUUGUUAAGUUGGAUGUGAAAUCCCCGGGCUCAACCUGGGAACUGCAUUCAAAACUGACUGACUAGAGUAUGGUAGAGGGUGGUGGAAUUUCCUGUGUAGCGGUGAAAUGCGUAGAUAUAGGAAGGAACACCAGUGGCGAAGGCGACCACCUGGACUAAUACUGACACUGAGGUGCGAAAGCG